This 650-nucleotide ribosomal RNA is filed under the name Bacillus sp. YIM DT1. RNAcentral's name for it is "bacterial SSU rRNA". It matches the Rfam family "Bacterial small subunit ribosomal RNA", at positions 28 to 657 of the family's 1533-position model. Lineage: Bacteria; Bacillati; Bacillota; Bacilli; Caryophanales; Bacillaceae. RNAcentral also lists the same sequence under 4 other names. The record is from RNAcentral.
GACGAACGCUGGCGGCGUGCCUAAUACAUGCAAGUCGAGCGAAGAGAUGGGAGCUUGCUCCCUGAUCUUAGCGGCGGACGGGUGAGUAACACGUGGGCAACCUGCCCUGCAGACUGGGAUAACUCCGGGAAACCGGAGCUAAUACCGGGUAAUACAUCGCACCGCAUGGUGCAAUGUUGAAAGUUGGCUUUCUGAGCUAACACUGCAGGAUGGGCCCGCGGCGCAUUAGCUAGUUGGUAAGGUAAUGGCUUACCAAGGCGACGAUGCGUAGCCGACCUGAGAGGGUGAUCGGCCACACUGGGACUGAGACACGGCCCAGACUCCUACGGGAGGCAGCAGUAGGGAAUCUUCCGCAAUGGACGAAAGUCUGACGGAGCAACGCCGCGUGAGUGACGAAGGCCUUCGGGUCGUAAAGCUCUGUUGUUAGGGAAGAACAAGUACCGUUCGAAUAGGGCGGUACCUUGACGGUACCUAACCAGAAAGCCACGGCUAACUACGUGCCAGCAGCCGCGGUAAUACGUAGGUGGCAAGCGUUGUCCGGAAUUAUUGGGCGUAAAGCGCGCGCAGGCGGUCUUUUAAGUCUGAUGUGAAAGCCCACGGCUCAACCGUGGAGGGUCAUUGGAAACUGGAGGACUUGAGUGCAGAAGAGG